AGAGUUUGAUCAUGGCUCAGGAUGAACGCUAGCGGCAGGCUUAAUACAUGCAAGUCGAGGGGCAGCGGGGGUAGCAAUACCCGCCGGCGACCGGCAAACGGGUGCGGAACACGUACGCAACCUUCCCAAGAUUGGUGAAUAGCCCUCCGAAAGGAGGAUUAAUACACCGUAACAUAAUUUGAUGGCAUCAUUAGAUUAUUAUAGCUCCGGCGAUUUUGGAUGGGCGUGCGCCUGAUUAGGUAGUUGGUAGGGUAACGGCCUACCAAGCCAACGAUCAGUAACUGGUGUGAGAGCACGACCAGUCACACGGGCACUGAGACACGGGCCCGACUCCUACGGGAGGCAGCAGUAAGGAAUAUUGGUCAAUGGACGCAAGUCUGAACCAGCCAUGCCGCGUGAAGGAUGAAGGCCCUCUGGGUUGUAAACUUCUUUUAUGGGGGACGAAAAAAGGGGAUUCUUCCUCACUUGACGGUACCCUAGGAAUAAGCACCGGCUAACUCCGUGCCAGCAGCCGCGGUAAUACGGAGGGUGCAAGCGUUAUCCGGAUUUACUGGGUUUAAAGGGUGCGUAGGUGGGUAGGUAAGUCAGUGGUGAAAUCUUCGAGCUUAACUCGGAAACUGCCAUUGAUACUAUUUAUCUUGAAUACUCUGGAGGUAAGCGGAAUAUGUCAUGUAGCGGUGAAAUGCUUAGAUAUGACAUAGAACACCAAUUGCGAAGGCAGCUUACUACAUAGUUAUUGACACUGAGGCACGAAAGCGUGGGGAUCAAACAGGAUUAGAUACCCUAGUAGUCC
This 793-nucleotide ribosomal RNA is filed under the name uncultured bacterium. RNAcentral's name for it is "bacterial SSU rRNA". It matches the Rfam family "Bacterial small subunit ribosomal RNA", at positions 8 to 796 of the family's 1533-position model. The record is from RNAcentral.